AUAAUAUAAGGUUAUAGCAUAAAAAUAUUAAUAUAUUAAAAAAAAUUACAAAAGGUUACUUCAAAGUAUACAAAAUAAGUACAACCCUCUUUAGGCCAGAUUCAGACAUUCCAUAAGUUCUUGGGUGAAAGAUCAAAAGGAUCCUUGAGUCCAAAAACAAGGAAGAAGGAAUAAGUACAGACUCGAUGACUGAGAAUGCCAAGAACCCUUUGCAAAAUCACGAUACUGUUAAUAAUGAAAACAUGACCACCUGUGCACGCACCUUCAACCAAGUGACUACUGUUCAUAACUAUAC
Molecule: unclassified non-coding RNA, 295 nt
Filed under: Hevea brasiliensis (rubber tree)
Lineage: Eukaryota; Viridiplantae; Streptophyta; Magnoliopsida; Malpighiales; Euphorbiaceae
Source: RNAcentral